This 2250-nucleotide long non-coding RNA is filed under the name Hermetia illucens (black soldier fly). RNAcentral describes it as "uncharacterized LOC119650247". Lineage: Eukaryota; Metazoa; Arthropoda; Insecta; Diptera; Stratiomyidae. The record is from RNAcentral.
CGAAGACCAAUGCAACCCUAGUGGGCUCCGUUUCGGAUUUCAAAUUCGUCUGUGAUUACAGCUUGAUGCGGAAUCCUUCUCCUGGAUUUUUCACCGAAAAGGAGUGUAUUAUCGACACCGGAGUGAAGAACGGUCGAUUGUUGAAAGACAAUAAGUGCAAGGAAAGUGUAGCGAAGUGAUGGGAUGGCGGAGUUCGACCUGGACCACGGCGUCUUCGAAUGUGAAAGUGCCGUCAAGACUAAAUUAUAACAAAAAAAACGAUCUAAUUUCCCUUUGAUUUGAGAGCUUCCUCCCUCCUCUUUCUCUUAUGACCCGCAAAUCGCACCCUAAUAAGGGGCAUCCUCCACUAUGAUGGCCUGUGGAAACUAAAGAAGGGAGGAAACGUCAAAGGCCGCGCGUCAUCGCACAUCUGAAGUAGGAAAAGCAUCGAUUGAAGAUGCGAUCCGUCGUGGAUCUUCCCUCUCGAUCGCGGCACUCGGGAGUUUCACGGCUCUACGCAUGCGGUUGAACCGUUAUUUUUUUAAUGUCUCUUUCCAAUUUAGCUUACGUGUUGAUUCAUUCGAUAGGUGCACGCGAAGGCACUUGAACAAAUUAAAUUAAUAGAAAAAAAUAAACCCGGCAGCCAUUCUAAGUGUUCCUGCAAUUUACUAAAAUCAUCGUAACCUUACAAUAACUCGCAAGUAAUCUCAACAAUAAAACAUAAAAACAAUUUGUCACAUUUCCGCGAUUGGAUGUAAGAGUAAAUUAGGGAAAAUCGUUACUUCACUAAAAAUAUUUUAUUUACCGAUGAAGAUCUUUCUACCCAAGAAGGGACUUUUAAUUAUCACAAUAGACACCGUUGAAUUGAAUCAUGAAGCGUAUUAUCAAAACCGAUGAAAUUUAAAAGCUUGGGCAGGAGUUAUUUGAGACCAACAUACUUCUCCCAAAUCGGUUGACAGGUGAAGGGUAUAUAUUUUUUUGCGGUAUGUCCCGCCAGAUUUAUUGCAAAAUGUGCCACUUAACAGAAGGAGCAAGAUGUGGUAUCACUAGGAUGGGAUGCUUCCACUUAAUUUCAGAGACAUCACAUCCUUUCUUAACGAAAAAUAUCGUUAAUGACGAAAAGGAUGUUAUGGGCUGCUACAAUGUCCUGCAAAAUCGCUCGAUUUAAAUCCACUGGAACACUUUCUGUGAGGCUAUUUGAAACAAAAAAUUCUCCUAUUGUUUAACAACCUCCAGGUAGUUACUUCCAACAUUUUCAUAAAAAAAUCGAAGAAAAACAUUUGAAAUACAACGUCGCUUAAUUUUUAUUCAUCAGUUUCCGUAAUAUGUAUCAUUUUUGUGAUUGAAAGUAAAUUUCCUUGUUAUUUUGCGAAGUUCGGUUUUUUCUUAAUUUUUCUGGUUUACAUUUCCAGGCACGUAACUGCCACUAAUUGGAUUAUUAGGAUUAGGAUGAAAUGAUGUUAUGAAAAUUAGUGCAUUGUGUACGUUAAAAUUCGAGUUAAACAUCAACAUUUUGGAAGAGGAAAACACCAUUUUUGCAUUUGGAAAGCGAUCGCUUCUACACAGCUAACACAGCAAGCAAACUUUAGUAUUUUAGAGUGAAGUGUUAACUGUGAUUCGAAGUUUUUUUGUAAUGCUCUAGCUAUGGUAGUUUUCGAGUUAUAAUGAUUUUAGUAGAAACUAAAAUUCCUGUGGCAUCUAAAGGGUUAAAAAAUCGAAAAAAUACUGAAUAUUUUGGUUAGAAUUGUAGGUUUAAUCGCCUGACAUAUAGUUUGUCCAGCCAUUUUGAAAACCCCUGUAUACAUGAAAAAUAUAAAUGUGAACUGUCAAAGUCUUUUCGAAUAUGCCGACCUUACGUGUUUUUGCGACCUUAAACCUUCUGACUGCCUUUUAUCUUCCACCAAGCCUUCUGACCAUAUUUGAGCUGUAUUUGUGUGACUUUCCUGGAUAUCUACGGAAAAAUUCAGCCGUGCAAGAGUCGGUUUGUUUCUCAUGGAAAUUUGGCAGAUUUGGAAGCUUGCCCACGCUGUUGCUUAGCCGACAACAAUCCAACCAUGUGCAGGUCACAUUUUUUGUGCAACGAGUCAUGCAAACUUUCAUGUAGUCGGCUCUUAGACGGUUAACAAUUUCAGAAACUGCGGCAUAGUAGGCGUCGUUACGAAGAAAAAUUUACUUUUUUGUUGUCUUGUUCAGGCAAGCAGAAGUUGCCACAAAUAAUAAUGGGCUUAGGUUCUAAGCCCCCCGCCAGUUGGGACCCAGUCCUUAACGGAC